GAAGGAUACGACCUGGAUGGGAUGCCCCGUCCAUCACAAGGCAGUUUCCAGAACAUUCUGCAACUUAGUGAAGCCUGUUCUGAUUCAUCGCCCUCGGUGAUUGAACACCUGCUUGAACUGAGCAGUCUACCUGCUGAAGCGUCAAGGCACAGCUUUGUUCAGCGGCUGCAGUCACUUUACCUGACUGGGUGCAACAAUGAUUGAGCUGGAGACGAAGGAAGGUGAAACAUCCUGAUCACCGCAGAUUUCGGCGACAGCAUUGAACUGAAGCCUUUUCACUGCAAGGGUCGGAAACAACAAAAGGCAAACUGCUUUUCGCUUUGCAACUUUUAAACUUUCAGGUGUUGGUGAGGAGUCAAGAAAUCAAAUUCUGGGUUGUGCUUUAGCAGCCUUUCAUAAGAUGGCGUGCAAAAAAAGAAAAUGCUGCCAUUUCAACUACUGUAUACUUUUGUUUCCUACAACCUGUUCCCAAGGUACAUACUGUAUGUAGGUGUUGGUGAGCAGUGGAAGGGUCUGAGUAAAUAAACAUUUAAUGAAUGCAUUCCCAUAGAAACAGAAAACAUGCCUUGCCUUUUAAAGUGGGAUUUAUUUUGGUUGGUACACAGUAUGCUUCCUGAACUCUAGAUAAAUAUCCCUUCCAGAUUUUUACCCUUUUUCAUUUCUAGCAGUCUGCUGACUAAGGAUUAAUACUGCCAGAAUUGAGCAAGAUAUCCAUAUGGUAUAACAGCUUGCAAGAUAAGGUAGACUUAUUUCAUUCACCUUUAGAUACAUUGUCAGAAAUGCACUGUGGGUAUUAUGUGUUUCAUAUGCAUUUGGGGUUUGCUAUAAUUAAGCUGAAAUUGGUUAAUUUUGUUAGCAACCCACAGAGAAGAG
RNAcentral lists this long non-coding RNA (873 nucleotides) under Lepisosteus oculatus (spotted gar). RNAcentral's name for it is "lncRNA (ENSLOCG00000021589.1)". Lineage: Eukaryota; Metazoa; Chordata; Actinopteri; Semionotiformes; Lepisosteidae. The record is from RNAcentral.